ACCAGGUAUGGUGGCAUGCACCUGUAGUCCUCACUACUUGAGAGGCUGAGGUGGAAGUUCACUUAAGCCCAGGAGUUCUGGGCUGUAGUGUGCUAUGCCGGUUGGGUGUCUGUACUAAGUUUGACAUCAAUAUGGGGACCACCAGCCUGCCUAAGGAGGAGUAAACUGGCCCAGGUCAGAAACAGAGCAGGUCAAAACUCCUGUGCUGAUCAGUAGUGAGAUCAGGCCUGUGAAUAAUCACUGCCCUCCAGCCUGGACAACAGAGUGAGACUGCAUCUCU
This 280-nucleotide signal recognition particle RNA is filed under the name Carlito syrichta (Philippine tarsier). Its description in RNAcentral is "Metazoan signal recognition particle RNA (ENSTSYG00000027549.1)". It matches the Rfam family "Metazoan signal recognition particle RNA". Rfam says of the family: The signal recognition particle (SRP) is a universally conserved ribonucleoprotein. It is involved in the co-translational targeting of proteins to membranes. Lineage: Eukaryota; Metazoa; Chordata; Mammalia; Primates; Tarsiidae. The record is from RNAcentral.